UCCCUGGUGGUCCAGUAGCUAAGACUGCACUCCCAGUGCAGGGGGUCUGGGUUCGAUCCCUAGUCGGGGAA
This 71-nucleotide transfer RNA is filed under the name Ovis aries (sheep). It matches the Rfam family "tRNA". From Rfam's summary of the family: Transfer RNA (tRNA) molecules are approximately 80 nucleotides in length. Lineage: Eukaryota; Metazoa; Chordata; Mammalia; Artiodactyla; Bovidae. The record is from Rfam by way of RNAcentral.